RNAcentral lists this ribosomal RNA (482 nucleotides) under uncultured bacterium. RNAcentral's name for it is "bacterial SSU rRNA". It matches the Rfam family "Bacterial small subunit ribosomal RNA", at positions 30 to 507 of the family's 1533-position model. The record is from RNAcentral.
AUUGAACGCUGGCGGCAUGCCUUACACAUGCAAGUCGAACGGUAACAGGUCUUCGGAUGCUGACGAGUGGCGAACGGGUGAGUAAUACAUCGGAACGUGCCCGAUCGUGGGGGAUAACGCAGCGAAAGCUGUGCUAAUACCGCAUACGAUCUACGGAUGAAAGCGGGAGAUCGCAAGACCUCGCGCGGACGGAGCGGCCGAUGGCAGAUUAGGUAGUUGGUGGGAUAAAAGCUUACCAAGCCGACGAUCUGUAGCUGGUCUGAGAGGACGACCAGCCACACUGGGACUGAGACACGGCCCAGACUCCUACGGGAGGCAGCAGUGGGGAAUUUUGGACAAUGGGGGAAACCCUGAUCCAGCCAUGCCGCGUGCAGGAUGAAGGCCUUCGGGUUGUAAACUGCUUUUGUACGGAACGAAAAGGUCCUUUCUAAUAAAGAGGGCUCAUGACGGUACCGUAAGAAUAAGCACCGGCUAACUACGUG